ACCACAAAUCUCUCUCCACCCAUCUCUCUCUAGCUUUUACCUCUUCUGGCUCUUGAGGAAAGCCAAAAGAAUAGCCCCCAUAGUCGUGUCGAUCUCCUACUCUUCGUCCUCCGGCGAGCAGGCCAUCGACACGAAGCGUAGGUGAUGGAGAACCAGGGGUUUCUGUCGUACGAGAGGCUGGAAGGGAUGGCGAACUGGGUGGGGAUGAGCGUGGCGUCGGCCUUCUUCGCCUCCCUGGAGCGCUGCUCCUGCAUCAACCUCAGCACCGCCGAGGACGAGGGCGAGGAGGAGGAGGAGGCCAAAGACCGUCCCCUCAUGCUCACCAACCCCGUCAAUUUCGACUCCGUCCACAGCGACGAUUCCAAGACCUCCCCCGUCUAAUCCUCCUAGAUCCUUGAUCAGUUAAUGAUGAUCAUCAACUGGAAACUCAAAACAGGAGGCAAAUAUGCUGGCCAAUCUUUUACUGAAACUCAGGGCAAUCUUCUCCACUGUUGAUAUUAACGGCAUAUGAUGGCCCUUUGAUUUUCCUGUGUUAUUUUACUUUAUCAAUAGCAAUACAAAAAUAUUUUUAAUCAGAAUUAGAAACCUUGGGUGUUUUGUAAAGGAGAGAAGGUUUGUUCUUCCCAACGAAGUUCUCCAGUUGUCUACACACUUGUAUAACGUAAAAAUAUUGUGGGUAAUGGAUGUGAAGGAACCUGAUUUAGCUCC
Non-coding RNA from Phoenix dactylifera (date palm), 708 nucleotides. Lineage: Eukaryota; Viridiplantae; Streptophyta; Magnoliopsida; Arecales; Arecaceae. The record is from RefSeq and is a predicted model, not a curated record.